UGAGCCACCCAGAUGACAAGCACCAUGGUAGAAUAAAAAGAUUUUAGACAGUAAUUGGGAGCUGUAUGAAGAACUAUGAUCUCAGGGGCCUCUUAAAAAAGAAAACAGAUUAUCAGGCCAAGAAAGUGUGGUCACUACUGGAUACUAAGUGACUGAAAAGUUCAUUGAGCUUCGUGUUCCAUGCCACCCAUCCAACCCUCUCAAAAGACAAAAACUAAGGAAUGAGUUGUUAGAACAGAAGAAGAAGCUUUUGAGGAUGACACCGUGCAGAUGUGCAGAUGAAUCAGAAAGUACCAGAAGUGCCUGACAGUUACUUCAGCCUCAUUAUAAUGCUAAAAUCCCCCUCUGAAUAUUCACUCCAAGCCCUAAUAAAAGGAUCCUGCUUCCCUGUGUUUGGGAAGUAAUGGCUUUGCAAAUUA
This is a long non-coding RNA of Hyaena hyaena (striped hyena), 419 nucleotides long. RefSeq lists it as uncharacterized. The record is from RefSeq and is a predicted model, not a curated record. Lineage: Eukaryota; Metazoa; Chordata; Mammalia; Carnivora; Hyaenidae. The transcript is spliced from 5 exons.